Molecule: ribosomal RNA, 324 nt
Filed under: uncultured eukaryote
Lineage: Eukaryota
Description: partial 18S ribosomal RNA
Rfam family: Eukaryotic small subunit ribosomal RNA
Source: RNAcentral
CCCUUAGGUGUCCUGGGCUGCACGCGCGCUACACUGAUGUGUCCAGUAAGCACCUAACCUCUUCCGAAAGGAACGGGUAACCUUUGCAAAGCACAUCGUGAUGGGGAUAGAUUAUUGCAAUUAUUAGUCUUGAACGAGGAAUUCCUAGUAAGCACAAGUCAUCGGCUUGUGUUGAUUACGUCCCUGCCCUUUGUACACACCGCCCGUCGCUCCUACCGAUUGAAUGUUCCGGUGAGCUCUUCGGACUGCGCGGUCUGCAGUUUCUGCGUUCCGUGCGGAAAGUUGCGCAAACCUUAACAUUUAGAGGAAGGAGAAGUCGUAACA